CAAGGGCGGACUCCUGUUCCGUCUCUGACUUGCUGCUCUCUUUGCAGGAGGACGUGACUAUCUACCUUCAGGCACUUAUAACGAAUUCUAUUACCCCGUAGGCUAUAAUGGAAGAGAGUGGAACGAGGCUCCUUGAGUCUGUAAAACCGAAGGAGCUCUUGGUGAAGCUUUGUGGAGACGGCUGAACAGAAUCACACUGGAGAUGGGCUCAGCCGCUACCUGAGGGGACACUGAGGGGAGAUGAUGUCAUUCUCUGUGCACUGAGUGAUGCUCUUACCUCAAGUGAGCAGUUGGAACUGCAGCCAUGACUGGAUGGUGUUAAAAGUGGGAUGACUGAAGACACACUGCUCUUCUAACUCCCCUGCACACUGACAGAAGCCAGCCUCAGUUUCACAGCUGUUGUGACUGCGGCAAGCCUAGCUGGAUGACUGAGGAUACGAUGAAUUGCCCAGGUGCUGCAACUUGAGUUGGGACUGCUGCAAGCUUCACCAAAGUUCUUAGAUGGGUCAAGUGAUCCAGGAAAUGAAAGUAUUUGUAACUUGGAGGCAGGAUAUUUUCCAUCAUUGUCAUUCAUUUCAAUGUCAGCCUCUGAAAACGGGCUCUUUUAAUAUGUUGAAGUAUCCUGUGCUUUCAAGAGUUGGUUUUCUGUAACUUUUUCUCCUUUUGGUUGUAAGCUUUCCCCACCUGUUAAAAUGUCUAACCCUCAUGCAAAUGUAUUUAUGAAAAAUACAAAUAAAUGGUUGGCAACACAA
Molecule: long non-coding RNA, 752 nt
Organism: Thunnus maccoyii (southern bluefin tuna)
Lineage: Eukaryota; Metazoa; Chordata; Actinopteri; Scombriformes; Scombridae
Exons: 7
Source: RefSeq, a predicted model, not a curated record